GCAAAAGAAGGAAGGAAAUCUUAACCUUGGAGUGAUCUUUCUGGGCCGCCUGCCUUCAACACUUUUUGAAACCCACAUCUAUGACUACUUUACCCAGUUUGGCACUAUUAGCAGAUUCAAAUUGUCCAGAAGUAAACGGACUAGAAACAGCAGAGGAUAUGCCUUUGUGGAGUUUGAGUCUGAGGAUGUUGCCAAGAUAGUUGCAGAAACUACCUUUCUGGUGAAAGACUUUUAUCUUGUAAAUUUAUGCCACCAGAAAGAGUCCAUAAAGAACUUUUUAAAGAAUGGAAUGUUCCGUUUCAACAACCAUCACUUCCAUCAGUGAGACGCUAUAAUCAGAAACGGGGGCAUUUUGAAAUGUUGAAGAUGGAAUAUUGGUUCAAGAGGAAGGAAAAAUUACUCUGGAAGAAGCUAGCUAAGAAGGGGGUUGAUUAUAGUUUCCCUUCGUUGGUCUUACCUAAUCCGAAGUAAAAGACUUCACAGGGCACUCUUAGCACCCCUGAGGAUCCCAAGGAGUCCGAAGGUACCCAGGUUUUGCCUGCCCCAGGAAAAAGGCUUUCAGGUAUACCUAAGAAAAAGGAGAGGAAGAUGUUGAAGGGAGUUCACAGAAGCAUUGUCACAGGCAAAACAGGUGGUCUAAGAAGUCUGUAGACAGCCAGGGUCCCACACUAGUUUGUACACCAACAUUUUUGGAGAGACGAAAAUCAGAAGUGACCGAAAUCAAUGACAGUAAAGAUGAUGAAGUCAUUUUCAAACAGCCUGUGCCCACAGUGAAAGAAGAGGGGCAAAAAACUCCAACACCUGCACACUCUGGGGAAAAAAAAAGAGCAAGAAAAAGGAAGAGCAACCAGUGAUCCUGAAAGCAUUCUAUGUGCACAUUGGGGCAGAUGUGAUUUUGUUAUAAAGGCCUACUUUAUUUUACCAGGUGCAGUCAUGUGCAAGCCACUGAUGAGACUGAUGGAGGGAAAAAACGUGUUGGUUCAUGCCAAUGAGGAAGGCCAUCAGGAACUUGGCUGUUUUGCACUCUCCUGACCUGAGUUUGUAUUCAGGCUUCACAACCCCCUUAGUUUACUCUGAAUCUUACAGGCUUAGACACCAGCAGCAGCCUUUGCUGGCCCCACUAAUGCUGUUUGACUGUGUGGUGGUUGUGCACAUAAAACCCAAAAGAAAUGUCAGGCUUCAACCUCAGACCUCUGAAACUGGAAGUUAAGUACACAUUCGAAGAGUGAGAAGGCAGUCCAGUGUGAAUACACAUUUGCACAAGUACUGUGAGGAUCUGA
This 1280-nucleotide long non-coding RNA is filed under the name Cricetulus griseus (Chinese hamster). RNAcentral describes it as "lncRNA (ENSCGRG00015039247.1)". Lineage: Eukaryota; Metazoa; Chordata; Mammalia; Rodentia; Cricetidae. The record is from RNAcentral.